Molecule: ribosomal RNA, 135 nt
Filed under: uncultured eukaryote
Lineage: Eukaryota
Description: partial 18S ribosomal RNA
Rfam family: Eukaryotic small subunit ribosomal RNA
Source: RNAcentral
UCGUGGGUUGACCUGUCUGCUUGAUUGCGAUAACGAACGAGACCUCCACCUACUAAAUACAGUGGCGUAUUCGUACGUGUUCUGUUCUUAGAGGGACUACCUGUGCAAGCAGGGGGAAGGCUGGAGGCAAUAACA